Molecule: long non-coding RNA, 676 nt
Organism: Triticum aestivum (bread wheat)
Lineage: Eukaryota; Viridiplantae; Streptophyta; Magnoliopsida; Poales; Poaceae
Exons: 2
Source: RefSeq, a predicted model, not a curated record
CGGAGGGUGUUGAGUAUAUGUGCUGUGCAUAUAUGUGUAUUGAGCCCACCUCCUAGUUCAUUAUAUAAUUGAGCUCGUGACCCACCUCUUGUACAUCGUAUAUAAGUGCCUUUGCACCUGAAAUACAUCGUACUGUACAUCUUAGUGGUUUUCACGGCUCAGACAGGUGUUCCUCUCUCCCCACCGCUCUCCUCUCCUCUCUAGCGACAACGGCGGCACCCGAGACGGCGACAGCGGCUGCACGCACCUGAGGGACCAACCGGAGGCGCGUGUAGCGAGCAGGAGGCGAUGUAGGCAGUGCAAUGAUCCGACGCGAGCUGGGGGCGACAAUGGCCUUCUCUGGUGUCGCUCUCCACCGACGGUCUCCAUUCAAGUGGAUGAUAACAAAUGCAUGAGGGAUAGAGAGGAAUGAGUUUUCUGGAACGCGUCUUCGUAUCUUAGUGUAUGGUGGGUACAAGUAAUGUUUGAUUCAAAAUUUAGACCUUUUUACCAAUAAUCAGUAGCAAAAUUUAGGAUUGUUGAGAAGAGAGGUGAACCUAAAGGCUUCGGUACUACUCUUAGGAUACUAUGUUGCUUCCAGGCCAUGGAUAAGAAUAGUUCAGUCGCUUGAGAGAUUGUUGAACAUAUGAAAUUGAUGGAAAUAUCUGGGCACCCUCAAGUUAAGUUGCUACCAAAA